AACGCUGCUGGUAUCCGCGAGGCGGUGCGGAAGCUAGGUGAUGACUACCUCUCCUUCCUGCCUGAGGCUGUUACCAUUCCUGGCUGAGCUUAUGGAAGAUGAGAGCACAGAAGUGGAAAGCCUGUGCCAAGACGUCAUCCUUGAAGUGGAGCAGAUCCUCGGUGAACCAUUAAUGAAAUAUUUUUAGUAUGCAAUAAA
Molecule: long non-coding RNA, 198 nt
Organism: Dermacentor silvarum
Lineage: Eukaryota; Metazoa; Arthropoda; Arachnida; Ixodida; Ixodidae
Exons: 2
Source: RefSeq, a predicted model, not a curated record